This 502-nucleotide long non-coding RNA is filed under the name Homo sapiens (human). Its description in RNAcentral is "long non-coding RNA NONHSAT075872". The record is from RNAcentral. Lineage: Eukaryota; Metazoa; Chordata; Mammalia; Primates; Hominidae.
GCCAUCCCGCGCUCUGCGGGCUGGGAGGCCCGGGCCAGGACGCGAGUCCUGCGCAGCCGAGGUUCCCCAGCGCCCCCUGCAGCCGCGCGUAGGCAGAGACGGAGCCCGGCCCUGCGCCUCCGCACCACGCCCGGGACCCCACCCAGCGGCCCGUACCCGGAGAAGCAGCGCGAGCACCCGAAGCUCCCGGCUGGCGGCAGAAACCGGGAGUGGGGCCGGGCGAGUGCGCGGCAUCCCAGGCCGGCCCGAACGCUCCGCCCGCGGUGGGCCGACUUCCCCUCCUCUUCCCUCUCUCCUUCCUUUAGCCCGCUGGCGCCGGACACGCUGCGCCUCAUCUCUUGGGGCGUUCUUCCCCGUUGGCCAACCGUCGCAUCCCGUGCAACUUUGGGGUAGUGGCCGUUUAGUGUUGAAUGUUCCCCACCGAGAGCGCAUGGCUUGGGAAGCGAGGCGCGAACCCGGCCCCCGAAGGGCCGCCGUCCGGGAGACGGUGAUGCUGUUGCUG